Long non-coding RNA from Astatotilapia calliptera (eastern happy), 1167 nucleotides. Lineage: Eukaryota; Metazoa; Chordata; Actinopteri; Cichliformes; Cichlidae. The record is from Ensembl.
CGGAAGUGGACAAAAAUGCAGGCGCUCGAAAGUUUCGAGGAACAGUUAGCUGAACAAAUUGCGUUACACCACAACCUUUAUGACCCUGGACACAAGUAUUACAAGAACCCGCACGUUAGCAUCAAGUCGUGGCAAGAAAUAGCAGCCGCCCUCCAGACAGAGCCGGACAAAUGCCGCGAGAAGUGGAAGCAACUUCGGGACAGGUAUGUUCGGGCCAAGAAAAAGUUCAACAGCAAAAGCAGCCAGCCAGCGAGACCAGCGAGAACCCCUCCGCUGCUGAAGUCCCUGUCGUGGCUGGACGGGUACGUGAAACACAGGAAUGCCGUGACGAGGUACACAAUAGAGUAUCCCGAUAAAUCCCAGAGUUCAGCUGCAGCAUCCCCUGGACCGUCACCACACAACAGCAGCCAGGGAGGCGAAAUACAAUUGAUGGAGUCGACUCUGCCGAGCCCCUCCAGGUCCGAGGGCAGCCCGACGCGGCGCUGCAUCACCCCGACCCCACAAAGCCGGCCUAAUAAAAGGAAGGAACACGAUGAGGACCACGCCACCACCUCCAUAAAAGACCUGCUAACGGACUGCUCCAAAAUGGCAGCAUUACGUGACAUGUGUGCUGUGCAAGGGGAUGAGCUGGACGAAUCGCACUACUUUGGAAUCGUGGUCGCAAAGGGGCUGCGGACAUUGCCGGACAAAAUGCGGGCAGAUGCCAUGGCACAGGUGAUGGCGCUGUUGAGCAACUUCCGUCAACAAGCUUUCGAGCUGCAAACAACAAAUGACAACAAGAAAACCUGAUGACACGUCUUUGUUGUUCUUUUUUUUCAUCCAUUCUUACGCGUUGUUCUUAAUAUCAUAAAAUCUUUGCUUCCAUCUUCUGCUUUUGUCUGUGAGGCUCGUAGAGAGAAGCUGAGAGUUUCUCUGACAGCAUGCUGUGAAGUGUGCGCUCGCUACACUGUUGCUGACAGUUUCAGGACAUUUUUAUAGUUGUCAAGUGUUUAGUUUAUACGUGUGCACAUACAUCCGCCAAGUCCCACAAUAGCCUUAUUACAAAAAUACAGGAAUUAGUAUAGCACAAAUGUAUAUAUUAUAUGUUUAUAUUAAAUAUGUAGUGUAUAUUUAUAAAAUCUUUGAACUUUUAUUUAUAAUUAUGUGCUUUGUUUGUCUGGUACACUA